CCCGCUCAGAAACUUAAAGGAAGUGACGGGGACCCGCACAAGCAGCGGAGCAUGUGGUUUAAUUCGAAGCAACGCGAAGAACCUUACCAGAUCUUGACAUCCAAUUGACCAUCUUUUAAUCGAGAUUUUGCCUUCGGGUACAAUUGAGACAGGUGGUGCAUGGUUGUCGUCAGCUCGUGUCGUGAGAUGUUGGGUUAAGUCCCGCAACGAGCGCAACCCUUGUGUUUAGUUGCAAACAGGUCAAGCUGUGCACUCUAGACAGACUGCCGUGGACAACACGGAGGAAGGUGGGGAUGACGUCAAAUCAUCAUGCCCCUUAUGAUCUGGGCUACACACGUGCUACAAUGGCCGGUACAACGGGCAGCGAAGGAGCGAUCCGGAGCGAAUCCUAAAAAGCCGGUCCCAGUUCGGAUUGCAGGCUGAAACUCGCCUACAUGAAGUUGGAGUUGCUAGUAAUCGCGAAUCAGAAUGUCGCGGUGAAUGCGUUCCCGGGUCUU
RNAcentral lists this ribosomal RNA (497 nucleotides) under uncultured Fusibacter sp. RNAcentral describes it as "bacterial SSU rRNA". It matches the Rfam family "Bacterial small subunit ribosomal RNA", at positions 888 to 1382 of the family's 1533-position model. Lineage: Bacteria; Bacillati; Bacillota; Clostridia; Eubacteriales; Fusibacteraceae. The record is from RNAcentral.